AAUCAGAAUCGUCAUAUUCAACUUCAGUUUUCCUUUUUAACGAUUGCUCCAGUGUGUUGAUGAAAUCAUUUAGUUUGUUCAACGCGACUUGCCCAUAUGAUAGCUCAUCUUCGUUAACUCCAACUUGGAUAAUAUCUAAAAGUAUGUACAGGAAAAUUAGUGUAAAUGAUUAAAUAUAGCAGUUUUAAAACGACAUGAAGCAAGACAAGGAAAAAGAAGAAGAUUUACCUGAAGAAGUUUAUCAAGCAGUAUGAAUAUUCGUUUAAAAACGAUACCAAGUUCUAUAGGCAACAUAUAAAAAAUAUAAAUUAGCAAAUAAAGCACAAAAUCAUAUUUGCACAUGAAAAUAAAUGCUCGAACGUAUGUCAAAA
Molecule: long non-coding RNA, 371 nt
Organism: Xenia sp. Carnegie-2017
Lineage: Eukaryota; Metazoa; Cnidaria; Anthozoa; Malacalcyonacea; Xeniidae
Exons: 2
Source: RefSeq, a predicted model, not a curated record